This 232-nucleotide ribosomal RNA is filed under the name uncultured bacterium. Its description in RNAcentral is "partial 16S ribosomal RNA". It matches the Rfam family "Bacterial small subunit ribosomal RNA", at positions 524 to 753 of the family's 1533-position model. The record is from RNAcentral.
UACGUAGGGUGCAAGCGUUGUCCGGAAUUAUUGGGCGUAAAGAGCUCGUAGGCGGUCUGUCGCGUCUGCUGUGAAAACUCAGGGCUUAACCCUGAGCUUGCAGUGGGUACGGGCAGACUAGAGUGCGGUAGGGGAGACUGGAAUUCCUGGUGUAGCGGUGAAAUGCGCAGAUAUCAGGAGGAACACCGGUGGCGAAGGCGGGUCUCUGGGCCGUAAACUGACGCUGGAGGAG